GAGGGUGUGGACAGACGUGCUCUAGGGAGAGACAGUGGCUCCCCUUGGCCAGGUCAAUGACAGUGCAGAGCUGUGGAGACCGUGAGGGGGUGACUCAGGUGUUUGUUUUAGGGCAGGUGAUGGAGGUAACCGACUUAAGCUGGCUAGAGUAGGGGAAGAAUUGCAGGAAGCCACUUGGGUGGCAGCUUUGAGAGCCUAGGCAGAGGUGGU
Molecule: long non-coding RNA, 210 nt
Filed under: Homo sapiens (human)
Lineage: Eukaryota; Metazoa; Chordata; Mammalia; Primates; Hominidae
Description: HSALNT0246523
Source: RNAcentral